This is a non-coding RNA of Salmo salar (Atlantic salmon), 68 nucleotides long. NCBI's taxonomy places the organism in Eukaryota, Metazoa, Chordata, Actinopteri, Salmoniformes, Salmonidae. The record is from Rfam.
CCCUGUGGCUCAGUCGGUAGAGCAUGGUGUGUGCAACGUCAGGGUUGUGGGUUCGAUUCCCACAGGGG